GCUGGUGUAGCUCAGCUGGUAGAGCAGCUCACUCGUAAUGAGCAGGUCCGCGGUUCGAGUCCGCGCACCAGCUCCA
This 76-nucleotide transfer RNA is filed under the name bacterium. RNAcentral's name for it is "tRNA-Thr". It matches the Rfam family "tRNA". From Rfam's summary of the family: Transfer RNA (tRNA) molecules are approximately 80 nucleotides in length. The record is from RNAcentral. RNAcentral also lists the same sequence under 2 other names.